Molecule: ribosomal RNA, 437 nt
Filed under: uncultured bacterium
Lineage: Bacteria
Description: bacterial SSU rRNA
Rfam family: Bacterial small subunit ribosomal RNA
Source: RNAcentral
AGAGUUUGAUCCUGGCUCAGAACGAACGCUGGCGGCAUGCCUAACACAUGCAAGUCGAACGGGUGGUAGCAAUACCACCAGUGGCAGACGGGUGCGUAACACGUGGGAACCUGCCCAGAGGUUCGGAAUAGCUGCGGGAAACUGCAGGUAAUACCGGAUAUCGCCUGAGGGCUAAAGGAGCAAUUCGCCUUUGGAGGGGCCCGCGUCGGAUUAGCUAGUUGGUGAGGUAACGGCUCACCAAGGCGACGAUCCGUAGCUGGUCUGAGAGGAUGGCCAGCCACACUGGAACUGAGACACGGUCCAGACUCCUACGGGAGGCAGCAGUGGGGAAUUUUAAGCAAUGGGGGAAACCCUGAUCCAGCAAUGCCGCGGCCUUUGAAGGCCUUCGGGUUGUAAAGCCCUUUUGGCGGGGACGAUGAUGACGUACCCGCAGAUAG